UGGCUCAGUGGUAGAGUGCUUGCCUUGCAUGCAUGAGACCCUGGGUUUGAUUCUUAG
RNAcentral lists this transfer RNA (57 nucleotides) under Dipodomys ordii (Ord's kangaroo rat). It matches the Rfam family "tRNA", at positions 8 to 63 of the family's 71-position model. From Rfam's summary of the family: Transfer RNA (tRNA) molecules are approximately 80 nucleotides in length. Their secondary structure includes four short double-helical elements and three loops (D, anti-codon, and T loops). Further hydrogen bonds mediate the characteristic L-shaped molecular structure. tRNAs have two regions of fundamental functional importance: the anti-codon, which is responsible for specific mRNA codon recognition, and the 3' end, to which the tRNAs corresponding amino acid is attached (by aminoacyl-tRNA synthetases). tRNAs cope with the degeneracy of the genetic code in two manners: having more than one tRNA (with a specific anti-codon) for a particular amino acid; and 'wobble' base-pairing, i.e. permitting non-standard base-pairing at the 3rd anti-codon position. Lineage: Eukaryota; Metazoa; Chordata; Mammalia; Rodentia; Heteromyidae. The record is from Rfam by way of RNAcentral.